This 517-nucleotide ribosomal RNA is filed under the name uncultured Glomus. RNAcentral describes it as "SSU rRNA". It matches the Rfam family "Eukaryotic small subunit ribosomal RNA", at positions 569 to 1089 of the family's 1831-position model. Lineage: Eukaryota; Fungi; Glomeromycota; Glomeromycetes; Glomerales; Glomeraceae. The record is from RNAcentral.
AGCAGCCGCGGUAAUUCCAGCUCCAAUAGCGUAUAUUAAAGUUGUUGCAGUUAAAAAGCUCGUAGUUGAAUUUCGGGGUUAACAAGUUGGUCGUGCCUUUGGUAUGCACUGGCUUUGCUGAUUCCUCCUUCUUGAAGAACCGUGAUGCUAUUAAUUUGGUGUUGCAGGGAAACAGGACUGUUACUUUGAAAAAAUUAGAGUGUUUAAAGCAGGCUAACGCUUGAAUACAUUAGCAUGGAAUAAUGAAAUAGGACGUUUGAUCCUAUUUUGUUGGUUUCUAGGAUUGACGUAAUGAUUAAUAGGGAUAGUUGGGGGCAUUAGUAUUCAAUUGUCAGAGGUGAAAUUCUUGGAUUUAUUGAAGACUAACUACUGCGAAAGCAUUUGCCAAGGAUGUUUUCAUUAAUCAAGAACGAAAGUUAGGGGAUCGAAGACGAUCAGAUACCGUCGUAGUCUUAACCAUAAACUAUGCGACUAGGGAUCGGAUGAUGUUAAUUUUUAAUGACUCAUUCGGCGCCUU